RNAcentral lists this ribosomal RNA (493 nucleotides) under uncultured bacterium. RNAcentral's name for it is "partial 16S ribosomal RNA". It matches the Rfam family "Bacterial small subunit ribosomal RNA", at positions 28 to 507 of the family's 1533-position model. The record is from RNAcentral.
GACGAACGCUGGCGGCGUGCCUAACACAUGCAAGUUGAGCGACCAACCAGGGCUUGCCCUGGGGCAAAGCAGCGAACGGGUGAGUAACACUUGGGUAACCUACCCCGAUAACCGGGACAACCCGAUGAAACUCGGGCUAAUACCGGAUGUGCUCACUGGACUUCGGUUCAGUGCGUAAAGGAAGCUUCGGCCUCCGUAUCGGGAGGGGCCCGCGGCCCAUUAGUUUGUUGGUGAGGUAACGGCUCACCAAGACCGCGAUGGGUAGCAUGUCUGAUAGGACGAUCAGCCACACUGGGACUGAGACACGGCCCAGACUCCUACGGGAGGCAGCAGUGGGGAAUCUUGCGCAAUGCGCGAAAGCGUGCCGCAGCAACGCCGCGUGGGGGAAGAAGGCCUUCGGGUUGUAAACCCCUUUCAGGAGGGACGAAGGUUCGGCGGUGAAUAGCCGUCCGGACUGACGGUACCUCCACAAGAAGCCCCGGCUAACUACGUG